AAGCGAAUCCCAAAAAUAAGCGUCUCAGUUCGGAUUGUAGUCUGCAACUCGACUACAUGAAGCUGGAAUCGCUAGUAAUCGCGAAUCAGAAUGUCGCGGUGAAUACGUUCCCGGGUCUUGUACACACCGCCCGUCACACCAUGGGAGCCGGUAAUACCCGAAGUCAGUAGUCCAACCUCGUGAGGACGCUGCCGAAGGUAGGAUUGGCGACUGGGGUGAAGUCGUAACAAGGUAAC
RNAcentral lists this ribosomal RNA (236 nucleotides) under uncultured bacterium. RNAcentral's name for it is "partial 16S ribosomal RNA". It matches the Rfam family "Bacterial small subunit ribosomal RNA", at positions 1265 to 1500 of the family's 1533-position model. The record is from RNAcentral.